Molecule: ribosomal RNA, 388 nt
Filed under: uncultured eukaryote
Lineage: Eukaryota
Description: SSU rRNA
Rfam family: Eukaryotic small subunit ribosomal RNA
Source: RNAcentral
CCAGCAGCCGCGGUAAUUCCAGCUCCGCAAGUGUAUUCCUAUACUGUUGCGUUUAAAUAGCUCGUAGUUGGAUCUGCGUGUUUAGCGCGCGGUGCCGUUUUUCGACGGUUACUGCGACGCGACACUGUACGCUGAUUGCAUCUCUUGAGUUGCUGUCAGCAAGUUUACUUUGAACAAAUCAGAGUGCUCAAAACGGGCGUUUCGCUCGAAUGUUCUUGCAUGGAAUAAUGGAAUAGGACCGCGCGUUCUAUUUUGUUGGUUUUCGGGACGCGGGUAAUGAUUAAGAGGGACAGACGGGGGCAUUUGUACUGCGACGUGAGAGGUGAAAUUCUUGGAUCGUCGCAAGACAGACUACUGCGAAAGCAUUUGCCAAGAAUGUUUUCAUUAA